UACGAAGGGGGCUAGCGUUGUUCGGAAUUACUGGGCGUAAAGCGCGCGCAGGCGGCUAUCCAAGUCAGUGGUGAAAGCCCGGAGCUCAACUCCGGAACUGCCAUUGAAACUGUUUAGCUUGAGGAUGAGAGAGGUGAGUGGAAUUCCCAGUGUAGAGGUGAAAUUCGUAGAUAUCAGGAGGAACACCGGUGGCGAGGGCGGAUCUCUGGGCCAUUACUGACGCUGAGGAGCGAAAGCGUGGGGAGCGAACAGG
RNAcentral lists this ribosomal RNA (253 nucleotides) under uncultured bacterium. RNAcentral describes it as "partial 16S ribosomal RNA". It matches the Rfam family "Bacterial small subunit ribosomal RNA", at positions 524 to 776 of the family's 1533-position model. The record is from RNAcentral.